AGGUCGUGACUCGUGCCCAAUAUUCAGUGUUACUGCACAUCAAUAUUGCACUUGUCCCGGCCUAC
Molecule: microRNA precursor, 65 nt
Filed under: Strongylocentrotus purpuratus (purple sea urchin)
Lineage: Eukaryota; Metazoa; Echinodermata; Echinoidea; Camarodonta; Strongylocentrotidae
Description: Spu-Mir-92-o16_pre stem-loop
Source: RNAcentral